GGAAGGGAUGUAUUUAUUAGAUAAAAAAUCAAUGCCUUCGGGCUCUUUGAUGAUUCAUAAUAACUUUUCGAAUCGCAUGGCCUUGUGCUGGCGAUGGUUCAUUCAAAUUUCUGCCCUAUCAACUAACGAUGGUAGGAUAGUGGCCUACCAUGGUUUCAACGGGUAACGGGGAAUAAGGGUUCGAUUCCGGAGAGGGAGCCUGAGAAACGGCUACCACAUCCAAGGAAGGCAGCAGGCGCGCCCAUUACCCAAUCCCGACACGGGGAGGUAGUGACAAUAAAUAACGAUACAGGGCCCUUUUGGGUCUUGUAAUUGGAAUGAGUACAAUGUAAAUACCGGAACGAGGAACAAUUGGAGAACAAGUCUGGUGCCAGCAGCCGCGGUAAUUCCAGCUCCAAAAGCGUAUAGGAAAGUUGUUGCAGUUAAAAAGCUCGUAGUUGAACCUUGGGCUUGGCUGGCCGGUCCAUCUUUUUGAUGCGUAUGGACCCAGCCGAGCCUUUCUUCUGGCUAGCCAUUUAUGGCGAACCAGGACUUUUAC
Molecule: ribosomal RNA, 538 nt
Filed under: uncultured Candida
Lineage: Eukaryota; Fungi; Ascomycota; Saccharomycetes; Saccharomycetales
Description: SSU rRNA
Rfam family: Eukaryotic small subunit ribosomal RNA
Source: RNAcentral